Molecule: unclassified non-coding RNA, 200 nt
Filed under: Nectriaceae sp.
Lineage: Eukaryota; Fungi; Ascomycota; Sordariomycetes; Hypocreales; Nectriaceae
Description: partial internal transcribed spacer 2
Source: RNAcentral
UUAAGUUCAGCGGGUAUUCCUACCUGAUUCGAGGUCAACAUUCAGAAGUUGGGUGUUUUACGGCAUGGCCGCGCCGCUCUCCAGUUGCGAGGUGUUAGCUACUACGCAAUGGAAGCUGCGGCGGGACCGCCACUGUAUUUGAGGGACGGCGUGUGCCCACAGGGGGCUUCCGCCGAUCCCCAACGCCAGGCCCGGGGGCC